Oryctolagus cuniculus (rabbit) is the source of this 2251-nucleotide non-coding RNA. The record is from RefSeq and is a predicted model, not a curated record. Lineage: Eukaryota; Metazoa; Chordata; Mammalia; Lagomorpha; Leporidae.
AAAAAAAAAAUAGAACACUGAGAUCUUCAUAAUGUACUAAUGGCCAGGGCGCCCCUGCUUUGCAGCCCCUGAGCUGAGUGAACCCCCAUAGUACCAAGGACUAGCGCAGUAGGGAGGGUCUCUUGGGAAGGCAAACGUAGGCCCAAGUGUCCUCGGCUUCCGGCUCUUGCACCGUGCAAGGAACCUUCCGGGCUGGUGUGUUCUCUUUGGGUCCCACACGCUUUUAACCGUGGGGCUGAGUUUCCUAAUUGGCAGGUUGGAGCACUGAAGCCUUGGCGGCCGCCGGGGGCUACAGUGUGUGGGGUAAUUAGGGUUUGAAAAUGACUUUGAAGCCUCUCAAAGCACAGGUGCUGAAAGCACAGGGCGAAGCUGGGAGGGGAUUUCAAAGGGCUUGCUCCUUAAAGUGCCACCGCUGGCUAUGCCCUGUUCUCGUCCCUGGGCCUGGGGGCCUUAGCCUGAGGGCAUGAACAGGGGCUACCCUCCACUGUGGGAAUGCAUCAGACAGCCAUGCCCCUGCCCGCACCAGCCUGUCCUGUCUUUCCUCCCUCUGUCCCCUGUCCUUUCUCAGCUGGACUCUCAGCGAGCCCGUCUGUGGGCUGGUCACAGUGUCAACUGUAAUGCUAGCUCCAUGUGCAGCUUGCAGCCCAGCAAGGACAACAGACAGGGGUUUGGAGUUACCCGUGCAGCCUGCGUUACAAGAUGGAGCUCGCAGACAAGCCCCCAGGGGUCAGGAGCCAGCCCCCUCGACCAGAAGCACAGGCUCACGUCCCGGCUGCUCUGCUUCUGAUCCAGCUCCCUGCUAAUGCACCUGGGAAAGCAGCAGAAGAUGGCCCAAGUAUUUGGGCCCCUGCCACCUAUAAAGGAGACCCGGGUGGAGGAUCCUGGCUUCAGCCUGGUCCAGCCCUGGAUGUUUCAGCCAUUUGAAAAGUGAACCAGGGGCUGGCACUGUGGCGUAGCAGGGCCUGGGAAAGCAGUGGAGGACAGCCCAGGUCCUUGGGCCCCUGCACCUGCAUAGGAGACCCGGAAGAAGCUCCUGCCUCCUGGCUUCGGAUCAGCACAGCUCUGGCCGUUGCAGCCAAUUGGGGAGUGAACCAGCGGAUUCUCUCUGCCUCUCCUUCUCUCUCUGUGUAACUCUGACUUUUGAAUAAAUAAAUAUUUAAAAAAAAGUGAACAAGCAGAUGGAAAAAAAAUCUCUCUAUCGCUUUGUCAAAUAAAUAAAUCAAAUUUUUUUAAAAAGGGAAAUGUUAAGACUUGACUGUACUUUUUUCAGAGCUCAGUAAUUACUUCCUUGCAUUCAUCUCAUAGAGGAAAUCUGGUCAACACACACCUCUAAUUCUGCUCUUCUGUGACCAUCAAAUCACUUUUGGAGCUUUUUUGAAUCUUAAGACAGCAGCACCUCACCUGCAAAGUAGGUACUAUUGUUAAGUCCGAAUUUGGGGUAAGUACACUGGCUCUGAGAGGUCACUGCCCAAGGUCACCCAACCAGGAAGGUGCAGAGGAAGGAUUUGAACCUGUCCAUCUGGCAGCGAAGCCGAAGCACAUUGCAGUGUGGUCAAGGUCACGGCUGACACCUGGGAGAUGGCCUGUCCCAGACACAGCCCUAAGGAGAAAAAUCCUCUAUCUGUGCAGUGCUCCUUGAAGAUGCUGGAGGGAAAGCAAUUCCCACCUCUGAAAUCGGUGUGUGCUCUGAGCUGGGCUGACAUCCCACAGAGCGGGGCGGAGGGGCGAGCCCUGCUCUGCGUGUGUCUGCCUACUAAUGAGGCAGGGAUGCCCGCGUCCCCAGCAAGGGCCUGACCUCCGGGUUCUUCGGAUGCCAGCUUUUGUCUGAGGCUUUUUCUCUUUGAGACAGCAUUGAACUUGUUCUUGGAAUGGCUGCAGAGUAAAAGGGCCUUCCAGGGCCUCUGUUGAAUGAAGUGCUCUGUUCCCAUGUAAGCUUUGAAAGAUGUGAGGAGCAAACAAAUGCGGAGUGACUGAGACAUUCUGCCGGCGGCGUGGGUGUCCGGUCCACUGGCUAAGAUGCCUGCAUCCCACACUGCAGAGCCUGGGUUCAAUACCUGCCUUUGGCUCCUGAUGCCAGCAGACCCAGGAAGGCAGCAGCAAUGGCUCAAGCAGUUGGGUUCCUGCCACCCACAUGGAGAUCUGGAUUGAGUUCUCAGCUCCUGGUGAUGGCUUGGCCCAGCCCCAGCCCUUGUGGGCAUUUGGGGAGUGAACCAGCAAAUGGGAGUUUGCUCUCUCCUGCUCCCCCAAAAAA